UACGUAGGGGGCAAGCGUUGUCCGGAAUGACUGGGCGUAAAGGGAGUGUAGGCGGCCUUUUAAGUUAUAUGUGAAAGCCCCCGGCUUAACCGAGGAAUUGCAUCGGAAACUGUGUUUCUUGAGUGCAGAAGAGGAGAGUGGAACUCCAUGUGUAGCGGUGGAAUGCGUAGAUAUAUGGAAGAACACCAGUGGCGAAGGCGGCUCUCUGGUCUGUAACUGACGCUGAGGCUCGAAAGCAUGGGUAGCGAACAGG
RNAcentral lists this ribosomal RNA (253 nucleotides) under uncultured Lactobacillus sp. RNAcentral describes it as "partial 16S ribosomal RNA". It matches the Rfam family "Bacterial small subunit ribosomal RNA", at positions 524 to 776 of the family's 1533-position model. The record is from RNAcentral. Lineage: Bacteria; Bacillati; Bacillota; Bacilli; Lactobacillales; Lactobacillaceae.